RNAcentral lists this unclassified non-coding RNA (237 nucleotides) under Fusarium solani. Its description in RNAcentral is "partial contains 18S rRNA, ITS1, 5.8S rRNA, ITS2 and 28S rRNA". The stretch from base 193 to 237 matches the Rfam family "5.8S ribosomal RNA", at positions 1 to 45 of the family's 154-position model. The record is from RNAcentral. Lineage: Eukaryota; Fungi; Ascomycota; Sordariomycetes; Hypocreales; Nectriaceae.
GUAACAAGGUUUCCGUUGGUGAACCAGCGGAGGGAUCAUUACCGAGUUAUACAACUCAUCAACCCUGUGAACAUACCUAUAACGUUGCCUCGGCGGGAAUAGACGGCCCCGUAACACGGGCCGCCCCCGCCAGAGGACCCCCUAACUCUGUUUCUAUAAUGUUUCUUCUGAGUAAACAAGCAAAUAAAUUAAAACUUUCAACAACGGAUCUCUUGGCUCUGGCAUCGAUGAAGAACG